Podarcis lilfordi (Lilford's wall lizard) is the source of this 70-nucleotide non-coding RNA. NCBI's taxonomy places the organism in Eukaryota, Metazoa, Chordata, Lepidosauria, Squamata, Lacertidae. The record is from the annotation of a GenBank genome assembly.
GAUGUGUGUGUGUGUGUGUAUAUAUAUGUAUGUAUGUGUACACACACACACACACACACACACACACAUA